Molecule: RNA transcript, 2262 nt
Organism: Coturnix japonica (Japanese quail)
Lineage: Eukaryota; Metazoa; Chordata; Aves; Galliformes; Phasianidae
Gene: KHDRBS3
Gene name: KH RNA binding domain containing, signal transduction associated 3
Source: RefSeq, a predicted model, not a curated record
GUGGAGGGUGUUUGUUGUGUGUCUGCUGUCUCUUUUGUUUUUAACACGCUUUUCUUCGGCGCCCGUGUGUACACGGAAGGGGCGCGUCCCGGCUGGGCUCGGCGGCUCUCGGAGCCCCUUUUUAUCCGUUCUCCUCCGCCCCGUGCGCUUCCACUGAGGGAUUUCUUCGCGUCCCGCACCCGGGGGGCCGCCCCCCUUCCUUUCCCUUCCCCUCUCGGCCGGAGACUCGCGGCGCUUCCCUCUGGAUGCGUCCCCGCAGCCCCAGGCGGGAGGCGGCCGGGGGGAAGCGCUGCCUCCAAGGAUUUACCGACCCAACCCCGCGCCAUCUCCUUCCCCGCGGGCGCUCCGUUACCGCCCCGGACCUCUACCGCCGUUAUGGACGAGAGGUAUCUGCCCGAGCUGAUGGCGGAGAAGGACUCGUUGGACCCGUCCUUCACGCACACCCUGCGGCUGGUCAACCAAGAAAUUGAAAAAUACCAGAAAGGAGAAGGAAAGGAGGAAGAAAAAUAUAUUGAUGUGGUCAUCAAUAAAAAUAUGAAGUUGGGGCAAAAAGUUUUGAUUCCAGUAAAGCAAUUCCCUAAGUUUAACUUUGUGGGAAAGCUUUUGGGUCCACGUGGCAAUUCUUUAAAGCGCUUGCAGGAAGAAACGCUGACAAAGAUGUCUAUUUUGGGAAAAGGUUCUAUGAGGGAUAAGACAAAGGAGGAGGAAUUGAGAAAAAGCGGAGAGGCAAAAUACUUCCACCUAAAUGAUGACCUUCAUGUUUUAAUUGAAGUUUUUGCUCCACCAGCAGAAGCAUAUGCCAGAAUGGGGCAUGCGUUAGAAGAAAUCAAGAAGUUUCUCAUCCCUGACUACAAUGAUGAAAUCAGACAGGCACAGCUUCAAGAGUUAACGUAUUUGAAUGGUGGUUCAGAGAAUGCAGAGGUUCCAGUAGUUCGUGGAAAGCCAUCUAUUCGAGCAAGGGGAGUACCGGUUCCUGCUUUGACCAGGGGCCGUGGAGGAGUCCCUCCACCACCUGCAGGAGUACCGAGAGGGGCACCAGCACCCAGAGGAGUGCCUCCCAGUAGAGGACCAGUCAGUCGUAGCCGUGGACUUCUAGCACCCAGAGCAAGAGGAGUACCUCCACCUGCAGGCUACCGGCCUCUGCCACCACCUCCGGCACAGGAGACAUAUGGUGAAUAUGAAUAUGAUGAUGGCUAUGGAACUGCUUAUGAUGAACAAAGCUAUGAUUCCUAUGAUAACAGCUAUAGUACUCAAGCACAAAGUGGAGCUGAUUACUAUGACUACGGCCAUGGACUGAGUGAAGAAACAUAUGAAUCAUAUGGGCAAGAAGAAUGGACCAACUCAAGACACAAGGCGCCUUCGGCAAGGACGACAAAAGGAGUCUACAGAGACCAGCCAUAUGCCAGAUACUGAUUGUACUGUCUGAUGUUGUGAAAUAUCCAAUCUCCACCAGUCCUGUAUACUGUUCAAAGAAACUCAACUCCUUGGACAGCCAAGACAAAAACAAAAACCUUAAUCUUCUGAUGCUUUGGAACUUCUGCCAUGUUAAUUACUGACUGCUUAGAACAUUGUACUUGUCCAUGUGCCUAGGCAACAAUGAGACAGGCUUCGGAGUAUGAAAACUCUGUUUCUGUAUUUCUUGUAUUAAAGCCUUAAAGUGUAUAAUGUUAUAUACUUUUUAAAAUAAUUGUAUAUAUGAACCCUUAUUUGUUUAGUGAUUCAAAAUGUUCUACUUGGAUCUCAAUAAAGAAUUUUCAUUUAAGUUCCUGUUACAAAGCAAUAAUGCACCUUCACAUUCCUGUAGUGACUCUUUUUAGCCUUAUGCAGAAACUUAAGUGUGUAUGAAUUCUCAUGACUAGACUUUAAAUAUGCUUUUGGAAAUAGAUUGUCUGAUAUAUGAACAACGUGGAUAAAUUAAACUGAGGAUCAGUGUUUCUUCAGGAAAUUUAUGUAUUAGCUAAACAUAAGCACCAAACAAAACUCAUGGGUAGUAGUGAUAAUCCAGUUUCCUUCAGAAACUUGUAUGACAUGGUAUUUUAAUUCCUGUCAGUUGUAUUAUGCCGCUUAUUCUCUUUCACUUGGUGUUUGCAUAGAAUUGUUUAUUCUGAUAAGCAAUCACUGGUUUUCUAGCAGUAGUCCUGGAUGAGGCUUUUACACUUUAAUUAAUCUUGUAUCUUACAGUUCUGUUUACUCGACGCUUUCUGCUUUAUUUCAAUCGUGGUUGUGAUAAUUUGUAACAGAAAUAAAAUUCUGAUAAUUCAA